CAAUAGCGUAUAUUUAAGUUGUUGCAGUUAAAAAGCUCGUAGUCGGAUUUUGGCUGAGAACGAUCGGUCCGCCGUUAGGUGUGCACUGAUUGGUCUCAGCUUCCUGGUGAGGAGGUGUGCUUCACGGCCACUUAGUCACCGUGGUUACUUUGAAAAAAUUAGAGUGUUCAGAGCGGGCUUACGCUUGAAUAUAUUAGCAUGGAAUAACACCAUAGGACUCCUGUCCUAUUUCGUUGGUCACGGGACGGGAGUAAUGAUUAAGAGGAACAGUUGGGGGCAUUCGUAUUUCAUUGUCAGAGGUGAAAUUCUUGGAUUUAUGAAAGACGAACUUCUGCGAAAGCAUUUGCCAAGGAUGUUUUCAUUGA
This 365-nucleotide ribosomal RNA is filed under the name uncultured eukaryote. Its description in RNAcentral is "partial 18S ribosomal RNA". It matches the Rfam family "Eukaryotic small subunit ribosomal RNA", at positions 592 to 976 of the family's 1831-position model. The record is from RNAcentral.